Molecule: long non-coding RNA, 1449 nt
Filed under: Volvox carteri
Lineage: Eukaryota; Viridiplantae; Chlorophyta; Chlorophyceae; Chlamydomonadales; Volvocaceae
Description: long non-coding RNA (VCAR_LNC002789)
Source: RNAcentral
UGCUUUCUGUGGGGCUCAAUUUCGCCAAUUGCUGCUGCCCUUCCUGAGUUAGAUGAGUUCAGUGCCGAGGUUGCCUGCGCUUUCCGCCUGCUGGACGUGCAACAAGCUGUAGGGCUCACUGUUCCCGCAACAGUUGGCGCUAAAGCCUGCCAUCCAAGGUGCGUUGUGUACAAAUGUAUACCUAACCAAUCUCGGGCAAUCCUGCAAAAACCUUGUGAGCUGUCACUGCAGACAGCUCUUGUAGGAAUUGCGCUUGCAGCUUGCAUUUGGUGUUGUGAAUAUCUCGGAACGUGCUGGAACCACGCACGGCCCCAUAACUUCAGACGGCCUCGCCGGUCUGCGAUGACUCCCAGAGCGCACGGCCGACACAAUAAGUCACGAUUGCCAUAAUUGUGUCUCGGCACUCGACACACAUUUGCAUCAGAUUCACGGCGCGGGGUAACGCGCUGCGAACCCUGUGUGCGCUGCGCCUCCGUUGCGAGAAGAACAGGUCCAUCGUCUCUUAUACAAACUCAGAAGACUAAUGUAAGAUGGCUCCAAACCGUUGCUAGGACCGACUAACGCAUAUUCAUCAGGCAACAGGUUAACCGGACAACUUCUACCUCAACAGUUAAGCACCCACCACAUCACAAGCCGGUGUAACAGAUGUCAAACAAUCACGUAUGAUCACAUAAUCCCAUCCCACUCGGAAGCUCAUCGACAAUACAACACCCAAUGAAUAGCCUGCUUAAGCCUCACGCGUCAUGGCGGUCGCAAAGCACGUGUGGUAAGUGUACCACCGCGCGCCUUGCCACCCCACUCAUUGUUGAUUGUCUAUGGGAAAGUAAGUGCGCACGGAGGGCAACUGCGCAGAAUGAGUAACUGCCCACUGCAUGUAGCCGCCAUGGCGGUUGGAUUUCAAACCCCCCUGACGCGGCCCAUGUUGUUCGAGCUGACGAUAGCGCAUAGUGGCUUGGAGUUCAAGAGAGUCCUAUUCCUUAGCGCAGCCGCAGCUAACAGCCUCAAACCUUCUAGCGCCUACGGCAUUCUCACAUCCUCUCGCACAUCCUCACGUGAAGGGCACCGCGGAAGGGUUGAGUCCUGUGUACUUGUACGCCUGAGCAGCCACCGCGAAGGGUAGCCCCACCGACACCUCAUUGCUCUUACUGGCCACGCAGCUGUACACGGCCUCAGCCACCUCAUUGGGAGUCUGGGAAAGAGGCAGAGACCGCAACAUUUGGCGGAAGGACCUGGAGGGGGAGUUUCGGUAUGAGUUGGUUGGGGGGGAGAGACAGGAAGGGUAUUUGGGGUUUUAGGGGGGACUUCUGGGGUGGUGGGAAGGUAAGAGGAUGUAAAUAGGGCUUGAGACGGUGGGGAAGACACAGCGCGUCGUGAUGCUUUUGCCGCAGUGACCCGAGAGGUGUCAGGGAGGGAGGGAGUUAGGGAGGGAGGGAGACGGUGAAGGUGAGG